Molecule: ribosomal RNA, 423 nt
Filed under: Bacteroidetes bacterium SCGC AAA487-I22
Lineage: Bacteria; Pseudomonadati; Bacteroidota
Description: bacterial SSU rRNA
Rfam family: Bacterial small subunit ribosomal RNA
Source: RNAcentral
CAGUGAGGAAUAUUGGACAAUGGGCGCAAGCCUGAUCCAGCCAUGCCGCGUGCAGGAAGAAGCAUCUAUGGUGUGUAAACUGCUUUUGUACAGGAAGAAACACUCCCUCGUGAGGGAGCUUGACGGUACUGUAAGAAUAAGGAUCGGCUAACUCCGUGCCAGCAGCCGCGGUAAUACGGAGGAUCCAAGCGUUAUCCGGAAUCAUUGGGUUUAAAGGGUCCGUAGGCGGUCUAAUAAGUCAGUGGUGAAAGCCCAUCGCUCAACGAUGGAACGGCCAUUGAUACUGUUAGACUUGAAUUACUGGGAAGUAACUAGAAUAUGUAGUGUAGCGGUGAAAUGCUUAGAUAUUACAUGGAAUACCAAUUGCGAAGGCAGGUUACUACCAGUGGAUUGACGCUGAUGGACGAAAGCGUGGGGAGCGAA